UUAAUUCAAAUAUUUGGCAGACUAUUGCAUAAGACUUAGAAUCUUUCUAUCCUAUA
This 56-nucleotide transfer RNA is filed under the name Dysdera scabricula. Its description in RNAcentral is "tRNA-Leu". Lineage: Eukaryota; Metazoa; Arthropoda; Arachnida; Araneae; Dysderidae. The record is from RNAcentral.